RNAcentral lists this small nuclear RNA (24 nucleotides) under Arabidopsis thaliana (thale cress). RNAcentral describes it as "snRNA_01178". The record is from RNAcentral. Lineage: Eukaryota; Viridiplantae; Streptophyta; Magnoliopsida; Brassicales; Brassicaceae.
AUCAGUUAACGACUGUUAACGGUU